RNAcentral lists this ribosomal RNA (398 nucleotides) under uncultured bacterium. RNAcentral describes it as "bacterial SSU rRNA". It matches the Rfam family "Bacterial small subunit ribosomal RNA", at positions 28 to 419 of the family's 1533-position model. The record is from RNAcentral.
GACGAACGCUGGCGGCGUGCUUAACACAUGCAAGUCACGGGGGUCCCGGGGGCAACCUUGGGAUAACCGGCGAACGGGUGCGUAACACGUGAACAACCUGCCUAGGUGUGGGGGAUAGCCGGCCCAACGGCCGGGUAAUACCGCAUAGGUUCUUCUGGGGGAGUCCUUGGGAGAGCAAACCUGUCGCAAGACGGGGCAUUUAGAGGGGCUCGCGGCCUAUCAGCUAGUUGGCGGGGUAAUGGCCCACCAAGGCGACGACGGGUAGCUGGUCUGAGAGGAUGGCCAGCCACAUUGGGACUGAGAAACGGCCCAGACUCCUACGGGAGGCAGCAGUGGGGAAUCUUGCGCAAUGGCCGAAAGGCUGACGCAGCGACGCCGCGUGUGGGAGGAAGCUCUUC